This 496-nucleotide ribosomal RNA is filed under the name uncultured bacterium. Its description in RNAcentral is "partial 16S ribosomal RNA". It matches the Rfam family "Bacterial small subunit ribosomal RNA", at positions 28 to 506 of the family's 1533-position model. The record is from RNAcentral.
GAUGAACGCUGGCGGUGUGCCUAAUACAUGCAAGUCGAGCGAACAGACGAGGAUCUUACUCCUCUGACGUUAGCGGCGGACGUGUGAGUAACACGUGGAUAACCUACCUAUAAGACUGGGAUAACUUCGGGAAACCGGAGCUAAUACCGUAUAACAUGUUGAACCGCAUGGUUCAACAGUGAAAUACGGUCUUGCUGUCACUUAUAGAUGGAUCCGCGUCGCAUUAGCUAGUUGGUAAGGUAACGGCUUACCAAGGCAACGAUGCGUAGCCGACCUGAGAGGGUGAUCGGCCACAAUGGAACUGAGAGACGAGCCAGACACCGAGGGGAGGCAGCAGUAGGGAAUCUGCGGAAAUGGGCGAAAGCCUGACGGAGCAACGCAGCGUGAGUGAAGAAGGGCUGCGGAUCGUAAAACGCUGUUAUUAGGGAAGAACAAAUGUGUAAGUAACUAUGCACGUCUUGACGGGACCUAAUAAGAAAGCCACGGCUAACUACGU